This 271-nucleotide ribosomal RNA is filed under the name uncultured bacterium. RNAcentral describes it as "partial 16S ribosomal RNA". It matches the Rfam family "Bacterial small subunit ribosomal RNA", at positions 337 to 626 of the family's 1533-position model. The record is from RNAcentral.
UCCUACGGGAGGCAGCAGUAGGGAAUAUUGCUCAAUGGGGGAAACCCUGAAGCAGCAACGCCGCGUGGAGGAUGAAGGUUUUCGGAUUGUAAACUCCUUUUGUUAGAGAAGAUAAUGACGGUAUCUAACGAAUAAGCACCGGCUAACUCCGUGCCAGCAGCCGCGGUAAUACGGAGGGUGCAAGCGUUACUCGGAAUCACUGGGCGUAAAGAGCGCGUAGGCGGGAUAGCAAGUCAGCGGUAAAAAUUCGGGGCUCAACCCCAUCCGGCCG